GCCCUCGGCGUUCACAUCAGACGCAAUUCCGACACGGCGGCAGUCGUACGUUCCGCGAUCACACGCACACACCGCGACAUUUUACCUUUUACACACUGAACACACCACCUUAACCACCACCAUCACUACCACCUCCACCACCUCAGUCACCACACGUACCCAAACCCUUACAGACACACCACACACCGUUCCAAGUCCCUUUUUGUUUUUUUACGAUUGUUAUCAUUUUCGCGUAUUUUACACCGAUUAAUAAAAAAAUAAUUUAAACAUCGAUCGAUUGUCAAUCUUAGACUCAAUCUCCAUUUUUCUCUUUGACCGUCGCGUGUGUGUACACCCACCCCACAAAGAAUAUAAUUUAACACAAAUCGAAAUACCGCCGAAACGACUGUGUACGAUCGACCGUCUCCACCGACCCUGCAGUAGUGACCUGCCGUCGCCACUGAGUCUACUAACUAUCGUCUUCUUCUUAGUCGUCGUCUGGAACCGAAAGCACGAUACCACCGAUCAGCUGCUACAGGAAACCGUGCCGGUCCACGGUAGUGACCACAUGUUGGCGCUGGUAGUGGUCGUCAAGCAGCAUUACACCCACCCGGUUGAAUCGUGGAGGCCGUCGCCGUUGGAGGGUUGAAGAGGGCCCGAGGUGGUGCGUACAACGGACCGGAGGCCGCCGCCGCCACCCUCAAGAAGCUCAGACUGGACGCCGCCACAGCCGCCGCAGCCGCAGCCGCAGCCGCAGCGAUGAACAUGUCGCCAACAGGUCACACGCCACCGCUGCAAGUCCAACAACAGCAGGGACCUGGCAGCGUGUCGGUUGACGGCCAGCAGUCCGUCGUUUCUGGCAUGUGCAACAGCAUCGAUUCCGUCGGGCCCGGCGAGGAAGAGGUGAGAACAUUAUUUGUCAGUGGUCUACCAAUGGACGCCAAGCCACGUGAACUGUACUUGCUGUUUCGAGCAUAUGAGGGUUAUGAAGGAUCUCUGUUAAAAGUCACAAGCAAAAAUGGCAAAACAGCUUCGCCAGUGGGUUUUGUUACGUUCCAGACACGCGCUGGCGCCGAGGCCGCCAAACAAGACCUUCAGCAGGGCGUCCGGUUCGAUCCCGACAUGCCGCAAACCAUACGGCUAGAAUUCGCUAAAAGCAACACGAAGGUUAGCAAGCCAAAACAGCCCGCCAACGCAAACGUCACGCCCAACACGCACCAAGGCCUGAUGCACCCGCUCACCGGACAUCUAGGCGCCCCAUUCUUCACCGGUGCUCCGGCAGAGUUAUGGCAUCAUCCGUUGGCGUAUGCUGAUAUGCCGACCGCAGCCACGGCCACGGCUUUACAACACGCAGCUCUUGUCCAUCCGGGACUACAUCCACAUCCUCAACAGAACGAGUUACAGUCAGUCAAAGCAGACGUUUAAUUAUUGGCCGACCGCCUAUAAAUGAAGACAUUGAUAAACGUAUUUCUCUAUACCCAUGUACAUAAGAAAACAUAUUAUAAGGGAGUAUGCUGGCCAAAAGAAAUUGGACAACGUCAAUUUCACGUAUACUCACAUGCAGUUGAACAACACCUGACAACUACAAGAUAGACCACGAGUACCUGCCCAAGUCUAGAUAACGCGCGACACGA
Molecule: unclassified non-coding RNA, 1613 nt
Filed under: Acyrthosiphon pisum (pea aphid)
Lineage: Eukaryota; Metazoa; Arthropoda; Insecta; Hemiptera; Aphididae
Description: protein couch potato, transcript variant X6
Source: RNAcentral